UAACCUAUCUAGUGAUAGAUAGUUGAACAGUCAGAAGUCAUAGUACUCUUUCAAGCUCGAGAUGGAAGAGGAAGGAC
This is a non-coding RNA of Bacillus sp. X1(2014), 77 nucleotides long. The record is from Rfam. NCBI's taxonomy places the organism in Bacteria, Bacillati, Bacillota, Bacilli, Caryophanales, Bacillaceae.